AAUAAAUCCAUUCAUAAGUUUUUGUGUCCAACUUUGAUCGUCCGUCUUAAUUGAAUUUUUUUUAUGAUUAGUUAUGCAUGACUUAUGUUUUUAGCUUUUUUUAAAAAAAAUUAAAUAAGACAGAUGAUCAAAGUUGGACACAGAAACUCAUGGCUGCACUUAUU
Molecule: microRNA precursor, 164 nt
Organism: Oryza sativa Indica Group (long-grained rice)
Lineage: Eukaryota; Viridiplantae; Streptophyta; Magnoliopsida; Poales; Poaceae
Rfam family: MIR812 microRNA precursor family
Source: Rfam